Coturnix japonica (Japanese quail) is the source of this 673-nucleotide non-coding RNA. Lineage: Eukaryota; Metazoa; Chordata; Aves; Galliformes; Phasianidae. The record is from RefSeq and is a predicted model, not a curated record.
GGUCCCAGUAGGAGAGAAGAAUCCCAUUUCUUAGUGGCAGGAGCCUGGCAUGAUCCUAAUGCUGCUGAGGAAGAACAGUGGAGAACCAGAGUCCAGGAUCACAAAAGCAAAUUGCAUUUAUCACCUCUCUUGUUGGAGAUCCAGACAUGCUCCACUUACAGAUUCUGCCUGCAGAAUGGGCUGAACUAGAGGGCUGCUUCAGGGAGAUUCUAAGAAGCAAUGCCUCUUUAAAUGGAACCCAGCCUCGCAGUGGCCUUGCCAUUAGCUGCUCUCACUUUGGGUACAGGUGGCUUCAGGUGAGCCACGCUGCUAAUUAGUACCCUGCUUGUCAAAAUGAAGCAGUGCUUUGAAGCUACUUGCAAACAAAUUGGUCCCCAGAGGAGAGAGAGAUGUGUGGUUGUGCUGGUUGCAUCAUCCAGAAAGCAUCACCCAAACAGCCUGGCCCCAAGAAAAGAGUUCAAGGCAAGAGGGGAAUGUGUUUGCAUCACUGAAACCAUUUAAAAUUGAAAAGGUGCCAAAAAGUUUUCUUAAGCACUGGAAGGCCGGCAUUAAAGCAAAUACCCUUCCCCUGCUGACUGCAGUGCCUCUUGUCAGAGAGCUGUGCCAAGAUCCGCUUCCCAAGGUCAGAGGCUCACGGUGGGCUGAUAAAAGCAGCCAGCACAGCCUGGCUGGG